Molecule: ribosomal RNA, 445 nt
Filed under: uncultured bacterium
Lineage: Bacteria
Description: partial 16S ribosomal RNA
Rfam family: Bacterial small subunit ribosomal RNA
Source: RNAcentral
GUGAGGAAUAUUGGUCAAUGGACGGAAGUCUGAACCAGCCAUGCCGCGUGCAGGAAUAAGGUCCUAUGGAUUGUAAACUGCUUUUAUUCGGGAAUAAACCUCUUUACGUGUAGGGAGCUGAAGGUACCGAAGGAAUAAGCACCGGCUAACUCCGUGCCAGCAGCCGCGGUAAUACGGAGGGUGCAAGCGUUAUCCGGAAUCAUUGGGUUUAAAGGGUCCGCAGGCGGGCUAACAAGUCAGAGGUGAAAUCCCACAGCUUAACUGUGGAACUGCCUUUGAAACUGAUGGUCUUGAAUUAAGUGGGCGUUGGCGGAAUAUGACAUGUAGCGGUGAAAUGCAUAGAUAUGUCAUGGAACACCGAAAGCGAAGGCAGCUAACGAUACUUAUAUUGACGCUCAUGGACGAAAGCGUGGGUAGCGAACAGGAUUAGAAACCCGAGUAGUCC